GGGGUUGUGGCUCAGCGAGAGUGCUCGCCUUGCACGCACGAAGCCCUGAGUUCAAUCCUCAGCACCACA
This 69-nucleotide transfer RNA is filed under the name Marmota monax (woodchuck). RNAcentral describes it as "tRNA.Ala". The record is from RNAcentral. Lineage: Eukaryota; Metazoa; Chordata; Mammalia; Rodentia; Sciuridae.